ACCUUCGGGCCUCUUGCCAUCAGAUGUGCCCAGAUGGGAUUAGCUUGUUGGUGAGGUAACGGCUCACCAAGGCGACGAUCCCUAGCUGGUCUGAGAGGAUGACCAGCCACACUGGAACUGAGACACGGUCCAGACUCCUACGGGAGGCAGCAGUGGGGAAUAUUGCACAAUGGGCGCAAGCCUGAUGCAGCCAUGCCGCGUGUAUGAAGAAGGCCUUCGGGUUGUAAAGUACUUUCAGCGAGGAGGAAGGGGAUGUGGUUAAUAACCGCAUUCAUUGACGUUACUCGCAGAAGAAGCACCGGCUAACUCCG
This 311-nucleotide ribosomal RNA is filed under the name Enterobacter sp. J(2010). Its description in RNAcentral is "bacterial SSU rRNA". It matches the Rfam family "Bacterial small subunit ribosomal RNA", at positions 199 to 505 of the family's 1533-position model. Lineage: Bacteria; Pseudomonadati; Pseudomonadota; Gammaproteobacteria; Enterobacterales; Enterobacteriaceae. The record is from RNAcentral.